GCCUCUUGGACUGGGACAACUGUUGGAAACGACAGCUAAUACCGGAUAUUAUGAGAUUCUCGCAUGAGAAACUUAUGAAAGCUAUAUGCGCCAAGAGAGAGCCUUGCGUUCCAUUAGCUAGUUGGUGGGGUAACGGCCCACCAAGGCGACGAUGGAUAGCCGGCCUGAGAGGGUGAACGGCCACAAGGGGACUGAGACACGGCCCUUACUCCUACGGGAGGCAGCAGUGGGGAAUAUUGGACAAUGGGCCACAAGCCUGAUCCAGCAAUUCUGUGUGCACGAUGAAGGUCUUCGGAUUGUAAAGUGCUUUCAGUUGGGAAGAAGAAAGUGACGGUACCAACAGAAGAAGCGACGGCUAAAUACGUGCCAGCAGCCGCGGUAAUACGUAUGUCGCAAGCGUUAUCCGGAUUUAUUGGGCGUAAAGCGCGUCUAGGCGGAAAAAUAAGUCUGAUGUUAAAAUGCGGGGCUCAACUCCGUAUUGCGUUGGAAACUGUUUUUCUAGAGUACUGGAGAGGUGGGCGGAACUACAAGUGUAGAGGUGAAAUUCGUAGAUAUUUGUAGGAAUGCCGAUGGAGAAGUCAGCUCACUGGACAGAUACUGACGCUGAAACGCGAAAGCGUGGGGAGCAAAC
This 631-nucleotide ribosomal RNA is filed under the name uncultured bacterium. RNAcentral describes it as "bacterial SSU rRNA". It matches the Rfam family "Bacterial small subunit ribosomal RNA", at positions 128 to 773 of the family's 1533-position model. The record is from RNAcentral.